This is a long non-coding RNA of Triticum dicoccoides, 845 nucleotides long. RefSeq lists it as uncharacterized. NCBI's taxonomy places the organism in Eukaryota, Viridiplantae, Streptophyta, Magnoliopsida, Poales, Poaceae. The transcript has 3 exons. The record is from RefSeq and is a predicted model, not a curated record.
UGGUGGUGGUGGAGACGGGCGGGGAUGGACGGUGGUGGUGGGGUCGGGGGGGCUCGAGGCUUGAGCGCGACAGCGGCUCCAUCUCGCAUCUCAUUCAGAUGAAUGCAGAGCUCAAGUUUCAAGCCAUUAAGGCCAAAAUAGAUGCAGCUGAGGAUCAGUUCACCCCACUGUCUCUCUCAGUUAACAGCUUCAAAGCAGAGGUACAGAGUCCGGGUCCGGGUGGGCAUCCCACUGAUGUGGGGGGCCUUCAAUCCAAAUCAUGACCACGCGGUGGUCAGCCUCAAGAUUUUUCGCUCGACGGCAAGGGACAAACCAUGCAAGCCAAUAUACUGUACAUCACACACAAAGAUAAAAAUGUGUUUCAAAGAGCAUCUAGUUGAAGGGAAAGUUUAUGCAUUGUCAGAUUCUGAAGUUUCUGAAGUAAAGCACAAGAAUUUCGUCACCUGUCGUAAUGGCUUGAUGCUGUACAUUGGUGGAUGUGUUAGAUGGACUUGUCAAUUCGACACCGGAAGCUGCAGCACGUAACCAAGUGAAGCCUGAAAUAUAACUCAUGAAUCUCAUGUUUAAUUAGUUUACAGUUACACUGUGUCCCGGUAUUUGCUAGGAAGUCUCCAGAUGACAACUCGACUGCGAUUUGAAGUUGAAUCACAACUAAGUUGUUCCCAUGUACCAAUCUGGAACAAGGAAUUAACAUGGCUCUAGUCCUCCAGCUACUCUCGUCCAAAGCAUGGUAGCACAAAACAAUUGUCUUGUCCUAGCCGUAGCUUUCUAUUCUCUUGACGGGCUGACUGGUCACAAAGUGCUCCACUUGCCACAUACCAUAAAUAACCCUAUGCUUUUGUGAA